Molecule: ribosomal RNA, 381 nt
Filed under: uncultured eukaryote
Lineage: Eukaryota
Description: partial 18S ribosomal RNA
Rfam family: Eukaryotic small subunit ribosomal RNA
Source: RNAcentral
CAAUAGCGUAUAUUAAAGUUGUUGCGGUAAAAAAGCUCGUAGUUGGAUUUCUACCGAAGAUAGCCGGUCGGGUCUUCGACCUUGUAUCUGGUUUUGUCUUUGGUAUCCUCAUAGGGAACGUUUCUGCGCUUUAUUGCGUGGUGCGGUAUCUAUGACUUUUACUUUGAGGAAAUUAGAGUGUUCACGGCAGGCAAACGCCUUGAAUAUAUUAGCAUGGAAUAAUAACAUAGGAUCUUCGUCCUAUUUUGUUGGUUUCUAGGGCUAAGAUAAUGAUUAAUAGGGAUAAUUGGGGGCAUCUGUAUCAACGCGUCAGAGGUGGAAUUCUUGGAUUGCGUUGCGACAAACUACUGCGAAAGCAUUUGCCAAGGAUGUUUUCAUUAA